Molecule: long non-coding RNA, 2281 nt
Organism: Equus caballus (horse)
Lineage: Eukaryota; Metazoa; Chordata; Mammalia; Perissodactyla; Equidae
Source: Ensembl
CAACGGCAGCGGACAGGCAGCAAACGCGCAUUGCAUCUUUCCUACUGUGUGGGAGGGUUGGGGAGGAUUCCCAGGGUGCGGGCUGCAAGCACUUCCCAAAAUCUCAAGAUGAGGAUGGCUGAUGCUGCCUUGCAGGGCUUCACACGUUCAGAAAAUAGAAUUUGGACUUCCACUCUCUAAGAAUCAUUCUUUCGGCUGUUCAGAAAUCCCCUAUAAUCGUUUGGGAUCCCCCUACAGUGGAGACCCUGAGACAAGGAUUCAAGCAUAAGAGGUGUGUUUGGGAGGUGCAGAGAACACCAGUAGGAGAAUGGGAAGAGGGCAGAAAGGGAAGGCAGCUAAUAAAGAGUCAGUGACCUAACCAGCUGCCAAUGUGGGUGACGGAGCUUAAUCCUGCUGGGGAAACUCUGGGGCUCCGUGUACAAGAUAGCCCUCAGUGGUAGCUCACCUGGAAGGUACAGGGGUCAGGGUGUUCAUCACCAAUGCUCAUCAGUCGUUGGUUGCAGGAUGCUCCUCCAGCAGGUAUUAAUUCCCUGGCACUCUCUGCCUGCCAUCAGAUAGUGGGGUGCAAGCCCAGGGACAGCAAAAUACCAGUGGUGGUAGCUGGCAGCUGGAGUGGUGUACGUGGAUUGGUAAGAGCCAAAAGAUGCUGUAGGAUACUGACAAAGUGUUCCACAUCUUCUCACCUCUAGGCAACGUCCCAUAAUGCACAUAUAGGGGGCUGUGGAUUGUAAUGACUGAGGGCAAAGCCCUUUAAGAACAGGAUCCAGGAUAUAAAUCAGUGACCGAGGAGGCUGAAGAAAAAGAUACUGAAAAUGGUGGUGGAUACACACGAAUGCUAACGCCUCAUACCACCCAAUUCUGCGCUGAUCCAGUCUUGUUAGUCCUGCAGCGACGACAGGAGAUAAAAGAGGAAGGGUGCAGGGCUGUUUCUAACAGGUGGGGUGGGCGAGCCUGACCCCAGUCAGAGGCCCACGGUCUGUCUGGCGCAGUUUCACUGGGACUUCAGUGGGAGAAAGCAGGAGGGAUAAGGAAGGAUGGGAGAAAGGCGGAGAUAAGACAGGAAAUGACACUUGCCGAACACCUACUGCAGGGCAGCCUUUUCCGUUCAUUACCUUAUUCUAGGCUCACAACAGCCCCUCAGGAUCGGCAGAGGACCCCUGAGAUGGCCAUUCGGGUGUUGUCUGCUCAGAAUGUCAUCCCCUUCUUCUGGGCAAUGCUGCUUUAGACCACAAGGUAUGGUGGGGGCUGCCGGUCAUUGGCCUCCACCAGCCUGGCCACAGAGACUGCUCCAGAGAUGUACAUGUGAACCAGCAUGACCCAAGAAGUGGUCUUCCCUGGGUUCUCCAACGCGGAGUAGGGAAAGAGAGCCUUUCAUCUUUGGUCAUUCAACUCUGACAAUAUAAAUUUGAAAUAGCUGGUGACUAUGAGUCCUUACCCUUAGGAAAGAAAAACACUGGUAAGUCCCGAUAAUGCUCCAAUCCCUCGAUUGUGUACAUGAACCAAUAAAUUUCCCUUUUUCUGUUAGAUUACUUCAGGUGGUUUCUGCCACUUGCAACUUAAAGAAUGAUGACUACUGUUUGCCCUGGUUUUCUGGAUCCUACCGUGAGAGGCAUGGGCCCUGCAUUUCCAGGAUAAGAUGGAGGAAAGAGACCCAUCUGCCUCAGAGAGAAGGCAGAGGGCUCACUCAUCUCAUGUGUAUCCUAUUCCGUGGCAAUAGGCUUUGGCUAGCUCUCAUGCAGGUAAGAGGCGUUCGUGUGACCGAAGCUUCCUUCCGUAAGUCAUCAGAAGGUGUCGGCCCCUCUUUCUCACCUCAAUACCGUGACAGUCCAUACUUCCUGACAGCUGACAGGCACGUUAUCAGGGAGAAAGGAAAGAGCAAGCUUUAUUGCCACUUCAACCUUGGAGGUCAUCGUCCCAAGAGGUCUCCACAUCUUUUGACACUUAGCUCCAUCCAGAGCCCUGGAGAUGUAAAGGUAUUUCUAGGCUGGCUUUACUUGCCCUUUUGGCAGCAGGACUUUCACGUGGGUCUUCCUCAAUGACCAGAUUCAGUCAAUCAGGUGAAUUCCAAAUUAUGAAAAUCCAGUUGGUACAAUUUGGGGUAAAAUAAAAAGCAGAACAUUUUACAGUAAAAGGAAAGACAGGUUAUCCUCCUGCUUAAUAUAUGGUAAAUUUAGAGUAUCUAAUAUUGGGAAAAUAGUAACCACAAUAAUUUUGAAUCUGUAUCCCUUCUAAGUGUGGAGUCCAGAGUAAGUGCCCUAUUUCCAUUUGAUGUCAACCUCAG